AAGCACCGGCUAACUCCGUGCCAGCAGCCGCGGUAAUACGGAGGGUGCGAGCGUUAAUCGGAAUUACUGGGCGUUAAAGCGCAUGCAGGUGGUUUGUUAAGUCAGAUGUGAAAGCCCGGGGCUCAACCUCGGAAUUGCAUUUGAAACUGGCAAACUAGAGUACUGUAGAGGGGGUAGAAUUUCAGGUGUAGCGGUGAAAAUGCGUAGAGAUCUGAAGGAAUACCGGUGGCGAAGGCGGCCCCCUGGACAGAUACUGACACUCAGAUGCGAAAGCGUGGGGAGCAAACAGGAUUAGAUACCCUGGUAG
RNAcentral lists this ribosomal RNA (307 nucleotides) under uncultured bacterium. RNAcentral's name for it is "bacterial SSU rRNA". It matches the Rfam family "Bacterial small subunit ribosomal RNA", at positions 488 to 793 of the family's 1533-position model. The record is from RNAcentral.